GGGGAAUUUUGGACAAUGGGCGCAAGCCUGAUCCAGCCAUGCCGCGUGUCUGAAGAAGGCCUUCGGGUUGUAAAGGACUUUUGUCAGGGAAGAAAAGGGCGGGGUUAAUACCCCUGUCUGAUGACGGUACCUGAAGAAUAAGCACCGGCUAACUACGUGCCAGCAGCCGCGGUAAUACGUAGGGUGCGAGCGUUAAUCGGAAUUACUGGGCGUAAAGCGGGCGCAGACGGUUACUUAAGCAGGAUGUGAAAUCCCCGGGCUCAACCUGGGAACUGCGUUCUGAACUGGGUGACUAGAGUGUGUCAGAGGGAGGUAGAAUUCCACGUGUAGCAGUGAAAUGCGUAGAGAUGUGGAGGAAUACCGAUGGCGAAGGCAGCCUCCUGGGAUAACACCGACGUUCAUGCCCGAAAGCGUGGGUAGCAAACAGGAUUAGAUACCCUGGUAGUCCACGCCCUAAACGAUGUCGAUUAGCUGUUGGGCAGCUUGACUGCUUAGUAGCGAAGCUAACGCGUGAAAUCGACCGCCUGGGGAGUACGGUCGCAAGAUUA
Molecule: ribosomal RNA, 548 nt
Filed under: uncultured bacterium
Lineage: Bacteria
Description: bacterial SSU rRNA
Rfam family: Bacterial small subunit ribosomal RNA
Source: RNAcentral